Long non-coding RNA from Pan troglodytes (chimpanzee), 1291 nucleotides. Lineage: Eukaryota; Metazoa; Chordata; Mammalia; Primates; Hominidae. The record is from Ensembl.
GGCUGAACAUAAAAAAGACACCUUGAUGUUCUUGCUUAUGGAGAGCUUUGGCAAAGCUUGUUUUCAGGGAUCUUAACUCUAAUCAUUUUACCUCUCAAUACAGAGCCAGUGGGGAGUGGAGCUCAGAGUCCUUAUCUGAGAGCAAGGAGACCUGGCUUCUAGCGCCUAUUAGGUCAGAGUAAGUGGGAUUUUGUUAUAGCUGGUACUUGGAGUUCUCAUUCACAAAAUGAGAAAACAGAAUUAGGUAUUCCUAAGGAUUUUUCUGCUCCUUGUGUUUAUAAAGUGAGUCCUACAUGUUUCUUAAAAACCUCUUUUAGUAUUUGCCUUAAACAAGAGCUGCAUGCUGGGAUCACGGAAGAGGAGUGGGCCAUAUGUAAGAAAAGAGAGCAGAGACGAGAAUGCAGAUACAUGUGAGAAGUGAAUAUUCUGGAAGAACUCGAUGGGAAGAACAUCUAUGGACAGUCUUCUGAGUGAUGCUCAGAACAAAGUUUAAAAUCAGGCAUUUUCACUUCAAACUUUUCCAUCCUUCUACCCUGAAGAGAGACAACCUGAAGUUUCAGCCCCCAGGGCAGGAGCCCCAGGGAUGUUCUGAAGACACCCAGGGUAGAAGCACUGUGUCAUUCAAGCAUUCCUGAUGGCUGGAGAGCCAUCCUCAAAGUGGCACUGGCAAAGUGCGGUACUUGUCAGGAUUCCAGCCUUGAGACCACUUGGGCUGCCUGUCAGCAAACUCCAUGUUGGUGUCUGGAGCAGGUAGCAGCUGCAGGCUGUAACGUCCUCCGCUACGGCAUUCACUUCCAGGCUCACAUGCAAAUCGCCAGCAACUAUGAAGAGAAUAACUCCCAGCUUCCAGGCCCACACAGUUUUGCUGAUCACGAAUGAAAUCUUGAAGAACAUCCAUCUCUUGUGCUGGUUCCACCACCGGUCAGAAGAAUGAAAAUUGCAGAUACCUAUUCUGUGUGUUACUCUCCAGAAUGGUGGAUGUUAGAGACCCUACUAAGGAUUUGUGGACUCACUAACAUAGUCUCUAAAAGGUAAGGGCAGAGUUUGGAGCUGACCUAUGCCCGGCCUCUGUUUCACUCUCCAGAAUCUUCUGCUUUCUUCCAUGGUAACUAUUCAUUGAUGCUUAUUUCAUUAUGUCUCUUUAUUUGUAUGAAUAAUCAUAUCCUUGUAUAUCAAAGGUGAGAGAUUCUCUAAUAGAGUUUUAACCUACCAUUUUAAACCAGGAUCCAUCUAUAGUCUAUGAAGUUCCAUAAGUACUAUAAAAAUAAAAAAAAUUUAAAUCAAUAUUGCC